AAAUAUGAAGCAAUAAAUUGCAUUUAAUUUCGACUUAAAAAUUAGAGUAUUUUUCUCCUUAUUUA
Molecule: transfer RNA, 65 nt
Filed under: Bombyx lemeepauli
Lineage: Eukaryota; Metazoa; Arthropoda; Insecta; Lepidoptera; Bombycidae
Description: tRNA-Arg
Source: RNAcentral